AGAACGAACGCUGGCGGCGUGCCUAACACAUGCAAGUCGAGCGAGAAACCUUCCUUCGGGGAGGGAGUACAGCGGCGAACGGGUGAGUAACACGUGGGUAACCUACCCUUGAGUCUGGGAUAACCCGGGGAAACCCGGGCUAAUACCAGAUACGGCCUGAGGAUCUGCGGAACCUCGGGAGAAAGUUGACCUCUGCGUGCAAGUUAUUGCUCGAGGAGGGGCCCGCGUCCCAUUAGCUUGUUGGUGAGGUAACGGCUCACCAAGGCGAUGAUGGGUAGCUGAUCUGAGAGGAUGAUCAGCCACACUGGAACUGAGAUACGGUCCAGACUCCUACGGGAGGCAGCAGUGGGGAAUUUUGGGCAAUGGGCGAAAGCCUGACCCAGCGACGCCGCGUGAGGGAUGAAGGCCUUCGGGUCGUAAACCUCUGUCAGGAGGGACGAACUACUCUCGGUUAAUAUCCGAGAGUGCUGACGGUACCUCCAAAGGAAGCGCCGGCUAACUCCGUGCCAGCAGCCGCGGUAAUACGGAGGGCGCAAGCGUUGUUCGGAAUUACUGGGCGUAAAGCGCGUGUAGGCGGCCUGGUCAGUCGGGUGUGAAAUCCCCGGGCUCAACCCGGGAAUUGCGCCCGAAACUUUCAGGCUAGAGUCUCGGAGGGGAGGGCGGAAUUCCCGGUGUAGGGGUGAAAUCCGUAGAUAUCGGGAGGAACACCUGAGGCGAAGGCGGCUCUCUAGACGAUGACUGACGCUGAGACGCGAAAGCGUGGGGAGCAAACAGGAUUAGAUACCCUGGUAGUCCACGCCGUAAACGUUGCGCACUAGGUGUCGGGGGAUUCACCCCUCCGGUGCCGGAGUUAACGCUUUAAGUGCGCCGCCUGGGGAGUACGGCCGCAAGGCUA
This 895-nucleotide ribosomal RNA is filed under the name uncultured bacterium. RNAcentral's name for it is "bacterial SSU rRNA". It matches the Rfam family "Bacterial small subunit ribosomal RNA", at positions 26 to 896 of the family's 1533-position model. The record is from RNAcentral.